GGAUUUCCACUAAAGAAAGAGAAAAAAAAAAUAGUGGAAAUAAUACGAUCAAAUUUAUUUAGAAAGUAAAAGAACAGAUAUAUGGAAAAAAAGAACUGCUAUAUAAAUGUGAGUGAGAAUAUUGAAACAAUACUAUUAUACUAAAUGUGUGGUGUACCAAACCCUCUUAUAAACAAUGCAAAACUCAAAGAGGAAUAAAAUCUGAUUCAUUUUGUCAAAGAUCAAAACUAGGGUUAAAUCUAUAUAUUUUCCACAAAACUCUAUCUAACUGGGAAAUAUGUACAUACAUAUGUAAGUUCUAAGAUGAAAACCAUACCAUCUCUAUUUUUGAAUAGAAGAACCUAGAAACAUCACUUUUAUGUCUAUUUUCAAAGAAGCUCAAUAAUGUACAGAAGAAGUAUCCUUCAGCAUUGCCUUUCUUUUUUUUGCAGUCUUCUGGCAUCUACUGAAAUCAACAAAAGCUUCAAUGGCAGAAGAACAUCAGCAGAUAAGCAGAGAGAAAAGGAAGACUCUUCUAGAUUUUGUCCAAAUUCAAAAGUAGAAGACGAUAUGACUUCAUAGUCUAGGAUUGGUAUCAGUAAACAAAUAUGCUGGUAUCUAAAGAGGCACAGUAAAAAUAAAUGGUUUAGACAACUCUUCUGAAACCAAUGAUGUUUCAACUGAUUGUUUACCAUAGAUCGGUUUGUUUUUCUUCCAGGCUUCUCUCUUUUCCAUUUACGGGAAUUGUCAUCCCGGACUCUUUGGCACUUCUUCUUUCUCCACUCCACCAAUGAGGAAAAAAUACUGCUGUGUUUUUGGACGGGGUUAAUCGAUUAAAAAUCCUGAAUCCUCUUCACUGUGACUAGGAACACAUGAGAAAGAAAGGAAAGCAGAGACACAGGAAGGGAGAGAGGGAAUACAACCUUUCUAUUUGGUUGGAUUUUACAUUGUCUGAUUUGAGGGUAUUGGAAGGAAUGAGGAGAGAGAAAGUAAGCCCAUUUUAGUUCUUGGAGAACCUGUGACUUUCAACCUAGUAUUAUGGUUAAUAUUAAGCGUCAACUUGACUGGGUUGAAGGAUGCAAAGUAUUGUUUCUGGGUGUGUAUGUGAGGGUGUUGCCAAAGGAGAUUUACAUUUGAGUCAGGGGACUGUGAGAGGCAAACACAGCCUUAAUCUGGGUGGGCACCAUCGCCUCAGCUGCAGCACAGCAAAAGCAGGCAGAAGAGGGUGGAAUGAGAUGACUCGCUGAGUCUUGCGGCCUCCAUCUUUCUCUGUGCUGAAUGCUUCCUGCCCUCCAACAUCAGACCCCAGAUCUUUGGCCUUUGGACUUGUGGACUUACACCAGUGGCUUGCCUAGGGCUAUUGGUCCUUCAGCUACAGACUGAAGGCUGCACUGUCAAUUUCUCUACUUUUGAGAUUUUGGGGCAGGGACUGAUCCUCUACUGGCUUCCUUGCUCCUCAACUUGAAGACGGCCUAUUGUGGGACUUUACCUUGUGACCACGUGAGUCAGUUAUUUUUAAUAAACUCCCUUUCAUAUAUACACAUAUCCUAUGAGUUCUGUUCCGCUAGAGAACCCAGACUAAAUCACCUAGCUUUUAUAUGUAAUCACAGAAUCACCGUAAUUUCUCCUAAUUUAGCUCUUGCUUUUGGCUACUGGCUGAGAAUACCCUUAGAUUUUCCAUUAACCAAUUCUCUCUCUAAAUGUUCAACCAGGCUGGGCGCGGUGGCUCACGCCUGUAAUUCCA
Molecule: long non-coding RNA, 1723 nt
Filed under: Macaca mulatta (Rhesus monkey)
Lineage: Eukaryota; Metazoa; Chordata; Mammalia; Primates; Cercopithecidae
Description: lncRNA (ENSMMUG00000041764.2)
Source: RNAcentral